Centrocercus urophasianus (Greater sage-grouse) is the source of this 7592-nucleotide long non-coding RNA. RefSeq lists it as uncharacterized. The transcript has 28 exons. Lineage: Eukaryota; Metazoa; Chordata; Aves; Galliformes; Phasianidae. The record is from RefSeq and is a predicted model, not a curated record.
UUCCCUGUAUCCCCUGUACUGAAGGCACAGGGCUGCCUGGGCACACAAUACACUUGUCUUGUUCACUUCUACUCAUUGGAGAGCAAGCGGAGUCUAUUCUACGUGGAAAUAUGUGAAGUAUUGCUAGGGAUGGGGAGCUAACUGCACUGAACUGCCUUCUGGAGAGAAUGAAAAGAAUGGAGUGGAAGUGUGGAAAGAGUGGAAAAGGCUGGAUUGUGCUUAAUCAUGAAGCAGCACCAGGCUGAUAUAGGAUGCCACUGCCUAUUAUAUCUCCGGGCAGCACCAGUCUGAGGGUGUUGAGAAAGAAACAUAGUAAGAUUAUGCCAAAGCCACUCCUGUUUAUACAGAAAAAGGAUUGUUUUGUGCCUUAUUUUUUUGGUAAAGAUUGAAGGCUUAUCCACAAAAUAGGAACUGAUCCAGCCAGAAAGUAACCUGAAAAAGAAGUGCUGAGCUCUGUGAACCUUCUUCCUAGGAGAUCAGAUUAGAAACCAAUAUAGCUGGGAGCCCAGGGAUGAAAGCUUUAAACCUGGAGGGUGCCUGGUACUUCCUGAGAACCUCACAGGGAAAACGUUCAGUCCCCAAACAGCCUUGCUAACAGAUACGUUUUUAUAGUCUAUUAUUUUCUUUCUUCGUUCUUUGUUUCAUUUGAAUAUAAUAGGCUCUUUAUUUUUAACUGCUCGUCUGUUCCUGCUGUUUAUAUCCUCAUCCCAAAAUCAUAAUUCUCUGGUUAUUUUCUUUUUUCCUUUUUUGACAUCAUUUGGUUACUGUCUAACCAUACUACAAUGCCUGUAAAGAAGGGACAUGGUUUAUUUUUUUUACAUUUUCCAUUUUCCUCCCUGUCUUUUCAAUAGAAUCCCAUAUUUCAAUUUGAACUAAAAAGUUGUAGCCUUAUUUAUAGGUCUUGAAUUUUGGCAGUGAUGUAAGUGUAUUAUAUGCUUGUAUGACUUCAUGAGAGAAAAAGCUGGAGCUGCAGAUGAAUAUGUAAAAAUGUUAUUUUCCUGUUUGUUUUUAUAAUGCGUGAGAUGGAGAAAAGACUUUAGGCCUGUGAUAGUAUAGUUAUUUUAUUUCAAAAUCAUCUGUUUAUUCAUUUAGAUAGAUAGAUGGAGAACUUCCUGGCAUCGCAGUCUUUAAUUUGGAUAAAUACGCAACAUAGAGUACUUGUGUUCAUCUUAUCCUGGCAUUCAUCUUAUAAAAUCCAUUUCAGGGUACUAUCUGUGAGAGCCAGUUCCCCUCUCAUGCUGCCCCUGCACAACCCCGUUCCUCCAGCCAUUGAGGGUGAAACAGUGGUGUUUGCUCAACUGCCCUGCACAUACAAGUGGCUCUGCAUGCUGCUGGGUCAGCAUGACACAAAUGUACCACCUCUGAUACUCUGCAGCAGACCUUGUUGUGAGUUCUUGCCCACUGGCAGCAAAACAGACUGGAGAGCCGGAGUCAGGCUUUGCUCUCCAUGCUGCCAUUGCCUCCAAGUGACUUUUGGGCAAGUUUGUAAACCUGGUGCUUACUUUACCCUUCUCUAAGUUAGCAGUUGCAGUGCCUGCCUCCAAGAGUGUUUGAGAAUAGAACUGGUGGGAAAAAAAAGUUUUUUGACCCAGAAAACCCGUUAUACGUACUUGCCUGUAAUUAUUUAGCAUAGAACAUUACUUAUUUACAUGCAUGCACAACAUUAAUUUAGCUUCCAAUUUAAUCAUAACGAAAACCCAAAUAAUUAAAAUCUUCAUUACAGAAUGUUUCCUCAUCUCCAGGUCUGUCAAGGUUCAGUCAUAAUGCAUCUUACUGUGAGAUAGUUAAAUGCUCCAGUUGGGGUUUGCUAUUCUGUGGAAAAAAAGUAUACUUUUUUUUAACUGAAAUGGGAUUUGCUGCUCUAAAGCUGUUUCAGGAAUACCUUUCUGUUGCAUAACUAAAAGAAGUACCUGGAAAUGAUUUUAAGCUGCUUGCAAAAGAACAGCCAGGCAUCUAUGACCUUAUAAUUAUUAAUUAUAAUGCAAUUAAUAAUUAUUAUUAUGAUUACUUAACUCUUCUAAGUGUAUAUGUUCUUUUUAUGUGCCUUCUUGUUCUUUUUAUGUGCAUUCUUUUUUGCAGAUUGAUCACCUUAAUUAUGGUAUGUCUGUUUGCAUGUACUUAGUGACUAUUAAAAUGAAACCUGAAGUGCAUUCUCAAACAAAUUAGGAACUGCUUUGUAUGUUUUGAGGCUAUCUCAGUGGGAAUGGACUAGAGUUUUUCAUCUCCCUGUGCUGAUGUAGUUUGGACUUUGCAUUAUGUCAUUUUCCCAGACUUUUGACAGAAAAUGCUCCCUCUGUUCUCAGUAUUUUGACCAUUACUGGUAAUUGUCUAAUGAUUAACUCUUAGAGCAAUGGGGAAGAAAGCAUAUGCCAUCAUCCUGAAAUGCUGAAUUCUAGCAGCUCCUGAAAGGGAUAAAUCUCUAGAAAUUUACAGAACAACGCAUUUUGUGGCUGUGUCAUGUAAUUUAAUUUUCAUGUUUCAGUCACUUUUCACAAUUACCUGGGCAACUAGAAAAUCCAGAAAUCCCCACUGUAUAGUCAUCUGCUUGCAAGUCCCCACAGGAAACACCUGCAAUACUGAAUUAAAUACAGAUGCCAUUUUAUGAUCUUUAAAUAAUAACUUGAAAGAAUAAAAUACCUGUGGAAUGGGUCUCAAAAAUCCAUUGAGAUUAAGCCUCAAUUUGAGCCCCACUUUGCUGAACCCCUGCUUUGCACACGAGGUAUGUCUACACAAGAAAGAUGAGUCAAGUUUUGUGCUAUUUUUCUCUUUUUCUUCCCUGGCAGUAUUGGGGUCACUUGAGGCAGUCACUGCCCAUGCUCACCCAGAUGAGCAGUGCAACCGUUGUGUCCUUUCCUACAGCAUUUUUGGCAAUGUUCAUGUAGAAGUGCACCAGAUCUGAUGAGCUGUCCGGCCUGAGCCUGUUGGCAGAGUUGAGACUCUGAAAUAUUGUGCUGUUCUUCCUCUCCCUCAGAUAAGGCAGGAGCCUUCUUACCUCUGUUUACACUGCUAUCUCCUGGGCAGUUUUUCCAUUCUGCUUCAGCUGCUUUCCUCAGCAGAGCCUAUUAUGGGUACAUCGCAAAACUUUUCCUUUUGUUCUUAGCUUGAGAUCUCCAUUACUGGGGAAGGAUAGCUGAGGCUUUGGGAUUAAGGAGACCUGAGUAGGUGUUUUUUUUUUCUUUCUUGUCUUAGUUCUUCAUUCUUCAUCACCAAAUUGAGUUAUAAAGAGAAGUUAUAACAUUUGGCUGCCUCGCUGGCUCAUGCAUUGGUGUUUAUAGCAGGUUUUGAGAAUGUCCUUAGAAAAUAAAGUGCUAUCGGUGAUGGUAGUGUAAUACUAUGGUUGUCUUAAUUUUUGCAUAAUUUAAACAAGUUUUUAAAUUUUCUACACCUCAGAAAUUAAAUCACUUCUAAUGUCAUAACUAGAACUUGUUGUACACCAGUUACACACCAAUUAUUUGUGCCUUUCUUAGGCUAAAAGGAAACAAAAGUAAAGAAGUGGAUAAAGAUUCUGAAUCAGAAUUGAUGUUGAACAGGAAGAAUAUUCAUAAGGCAUCCUUAUAGGGUGGAGGCAUAUACUGCAAAAUAAAAUGAUUCAGAGAAGCAUUUCAUCGCUUUGAUUAGGUUAUGUGUAUGCAACCCUAUUGUAAGUGUUGGUAUCUCUACUUUGGGAGCUAAAGAGACCACCCUUUUUGAGCUGGCCAUCUCUUACUUCAGCAUGAAAAACAGCCGUCUUGAGGCCUUACAAUGAAAUUACUGCUGGAUGAACUCAGAGAAUCACCUUGUGGUUUUGAAUUAGAGUUUCUCCAACUACAAACUUGAGAGGAAAAAUUCAUAUUGUUGCCUCGCUCUGACAGCACUGGGGCAGUGAUAUGAUGAAGACAAGCAAAUUUUCCAUUGCUGUAUAUCAUGGAAAGGUAAAAUGUAGCUGGCCACUUCCUCAGUUUGGCAGUCACAAGUAUGUGAAAAGAAGCUACUUCUGCAUUGCCAUGAUUUUCUUUGGCCUAAGAUUAGGUAGAAGAUGCUUGAUCAAAUCAGUCAAACUCGGGCUUCCCGCUGUGAAUCUAACAGAUGAUAAAUAUGAACUUGAGUUCUCAUGAAUUUUCAGCCAUGAGUCCAUCUGGGAAUAAUUCCACUGAGAGAAGAAGGCUUCCAUUCUAUCAAGAAAAAAGGCUGCAUGGAAAUCACGGAAAGCUACAGAAAAAAGCUUACCAUCAACAGUGACUAUCUUAUUUGCCAUGCACAGGCCAUGUUAAAAUACAGUACUUGUACAUGGUUGCAGUACACUGGAAACAAAUGCUUUUUGUGAUUUGUCUGAAUGGAUAACUUGUUCUGCUGAGAAGAAACUAAUGCACAAGCUACCUUGCAGCUGGUGAUGAGACCUCAAUAGCUAAACAGAAGCACCAAGGUUUGGGAAAUUACAAAAUUUCAAGGAAUUUAAGAGAAUCUUGGAGGAUGAUAGUCACUGGUAGAAUGGCAGGGACUGUAUUAGAGGAAAAAUAAUGAAGAUCAGCUGUGCUUAGAAGAACUACAUAAAGAAAAUGAAGCCAUUGGCCUGAACCACUGAUUGAUCACCUGAGAAAAGGACUGAGUCAGUUGGGAGCACAGGUGAAGGUAAUUCAGCUGUGAAUUCAUUUAGACCCCCCGCAUUUAAGGGCUGACUGCCACUAGGGAACGGUCUCUUUCUGGACGUCUCUUCUCUGUGGAGUCUUUCUUGCAAAUCUGGAUCUUUGGAUAUAGCUACUUAACUGAAACGACUAAGAGAAGAAAUGAGCAUGGGAAAGAAAGCUGUUUUCUAGAUUGGUUUACUGAGACUGGAACUGAUGGCCGAUAGCUUAAACUGCACAUGUGACACCAGAGCAAAGAAACACAAACAUCCUUACCAUCAAGAAGGCUAGGCGGGGCAGUACUGAAGGGAUUAUUCUAGCAACUCCUGAAAUGCAAAACCUUCUGUGGCAAGAGAGAAGAGGCAGUCUUCUGUCUACUGCUCUGACCUGACGGACAUGCUCUCUCCAAGUAUGACUUCAUUCAGGUAGUAAGACCAAGAACUGCGUUAAAAAACAGAAAGAUUGGCCCUAGGCAGACAGGGAAAAAACAGUGGUGAAGAUAUUCAGAAAACCAUCAUGAUUCUCUGCAAGAUCCUUUGAGGAACUCCACUACAAGAAAACAAAAAUGGACUUGAAUUACUGCAGACUAGCUAAGAUACCAAUCUUCCCGAUUAAAGACUAAAAUGCCUUUCUUUCUUGCCAUUCUCACAAUGGAGAAUCAUGAAGCUGCCUUUACUUGCUGAGUAACUCAGAGAAUGUGCCAACAUUUAGUCCAAGAAGACUAAAUCCACAGUGAUCCUCCCUAGAAGAGCCUUGGGAAGGCCCUGGAGAGAGCCAGGAUCCUGCAGAAUGUGUAAGGAGAGGUCUCUGAUGUCUUCACUUUGCCUGACUGCUCUACUGACAGAACGCACGUUUUUCAAGCAAAAGAUUCCUGUGGAGGAGUAAAACAGCCUGAAGGUACCACUUAUGAUGUAAAAGAGUGUUCUCCGUGACCUUAGCGAACCUAUGAACUGACCAAGAAAGCUUCUUUUCAUAAAAUGGAGAGGAUAGGAGGGAAAUAUUGAGAAAGCAUGUGCAAGCAACCUCGAGGAACGAAUUUGUGAAUUUAAAGCAUCAUUCAGCUUAUCAGCCUCUGCUUCAGUUACUGUGACAUCAUUUAUCAAGGUCCUCUCGGGGAUUUGAAAUUAAUGCGGAGGCUAAAAGUUCCCAGACUUCAUAUUGCGCAAUGGUGGUGUUCUUUGGAGAAAAGAUCAGCUACCCUGCCUCCAGCCCUUUCCCCAUAGCAUGAUCUGAAGUGGGACAGAAGCAUCAGAAGUACAGUGCAGAGGUAAAAAGAGUAAUUUGUUUCCUGGGAGAUGUCACUGUUGUCAUGAGAGACAUGAGAUGUCAUCCUUCUAGAACAGUAGAAAUACGAAAUCAUGGCUUGAAACAAUAAUUGAGCUCCUGAUGGGAAGGCAGGACCAACCAAGGGGAGCUCAGGUGCAUGCAAUUCACCUGAGUGAUUGCACCUGCUAGAGCCAGGAUCCAUUCCUUCCCAGACCUCAUUUAAGGGCUGGCAGUGGAGGUAAGGGUAUCUGGCUGGAGAUUCCUGUCUACUGGAGGUCCUCUAAAGGAAAGAAAGUCCGUAGCUUGUGUGGAAUUUGCAUGAUAGAAAAGAGGAAAGUAAUAUAAAGAAAUCUGCAGUUGAAAAGCGAAAUCAGGCUUAAUGCUGCAUCUGACUUAAAGCAAUCUUCAUUUUUAUGAAGCUUUUGAAUUCUUUGAAAGUAGAUGGAUUUACAAAUCCAGAGCUGGAACAAAAUUGUGAACCUUAAAAGAGAGACUAUACUUCCAAAACAUGAGGUUACCAAGUGGUUCCUGUUACCAAGUGCUUGGUUGCCAAUCAAAUCAUCACCUUCUAGUUAUUGCACAUUUGGAAGACAGUUUACUUAGGCUAUUUAUUAAGGAAAUACAGCACCCCACUUAGUACCUGAUACGCUACAUAUAGUUCCCUAUCUGGGAACUAUACAUAAUACUUAAAUUCCACAAAAUCACUGUUUAUAUAAAGGUUUCCCUUUCAUUCAAUUAGGCAGUUAUUAACAUCAUGCAUAAGAACACUGCUUUAUAGUGCUGCAGGCCUCAUUCACUUGCCUUCCACAGAGGAGCAAAAGCCUUAUUUGAUCUACAAGAAUGGACAUUUACACAGUCUGCAUUUAAAUGUUUAUGUACAUAAACAUUUAACCAUAGAAUUGCUCAGGUUGGAAAAAGACCUUAAAAAUCAAGUCCAACUGCAACAUAAUCAUACUACUCUAACAGCCCUGUGCUACCUCAUAUCCCUGAGUACCAUAUCCAAACAGUUUUUAAAUGUACAUUUUAAAUUUUCAUAGGAAAUUCUUCUAUUCAUAACCAACCAACAUUCCCACUUAAUAGUGAAGAAUUAGACUCUGGGAAUAUUGGUCUAUAGGGGAGAAGUUUAAUCCUGUCUGAAAUACAAAACAUCCUAUUGAAUCUCCUUCAGCUUUGCUGCAUAUGCAAUUAGUAAUUCGAGAUUCAGAAAACAGAAACAAAGAAGAGGAAGCUCAACAAAUAGAAUUUUGCUUGAGAAACGGAAAAAUAAAAUCUCCCUAAGGUAUUACAUGAAAGACAGUGGAAAAUCUUGACCUUUCUGCGGUCAGGAUUAUGUUUAGACCAUACUGUAUAUGAUAUGAUCUCUUAGUGGGGCAUCUUGUCAAGGGUCAGCUGCUCACAAAGAUGGUUAACAUUUACUGGCAUGCACAAAAUGGGCACUGCAAAACCUCAGUCAACUGGAAACCCUUGUCAGUUGGAUGCCUAAUUAGAUUACUUCAGCUUAAUUACAUAUUGCAUUUAAUAACAAUUUAACAGAGGCUAAUAUACUUCACAUGUCUUGGUCUCAAAGUGAUACUUUGCCCAAGAUAGUCUGUAUGUCUUACUCAGUUUCCACAAAAUAUAUUACUUUUACUGUAUUACACCCAAUCUCAUUUGUGAAAUAUGAUGUCAACUAUUUAUUUCAAUUUUUGAACAAAAAAAAUGAAUAGUUGCUAUAGCAAUUGUUAC